This 253-nucleotide ribosomal RNA is filed under the name uncultured bacterium. RNAcentral describes it as "partial 16S ribosomal RNA". It matches the Rfam family "Bacterial small subunit ribosomal RNA", at positions 524 to 776 of the family's 1533-position model. The record is from RNAcentral.
UACGUAGGGGGCAAGCGUUGCCCGGAUUUACUGGGCGUAAAGAGCGUGUAGGCGGCCAAACAGGUCCGUUGUGAAAACUGGAGGCUCAACCUCCAGACGUCGACGGAAACCGUGUGGCUAGAGUCCGGAAGAGGAGAGUGGAAUUCCUGGUGUAGCGGUGAAAUGCGCAGAUAUCAGGAAGAACACCAAUGGCGAAGGCAGCUCUCUGGGACGGUACUGACGCUGAGACGCGAAAGCGUGGGGAGCGAACAGG